This 703-nucleotide ribosomal RNA is filed under the name Escherichia coli. RNAcentral's name for it is "partial 23S ribosomal RNA". It matches the Rfam family "Bacterial large subunit ribosomal RNA", at positions 1214 to 1901 of the family's 2925-position model. Lineage: Bacteria; Pseudomonadati; Pseudomonadota; Gammaproteobacteria; Enterobacterales; Enterobacteriaceae. The record is from RNAcentral.
CUAUGUGUUGUUGGGUAGGGGAGCGUUCUGUAAGCCUGCGAAGGUGUACUGUGAGGUAUGCUGGAGGUAUCAGAAGUGCGAAUGCUGACAUAAGUAACGAUAAAGCGGGUGAAAAGCCCGCUCGCCGGAAGACCAAGGGUUCCUGUCCAACGUUAAUCGGGGCAGGGUGAGUCGACCCCUAAGGCGAGGCCGAAAGGCGUAGUCGAUGGGAAACAGGUUAAUAUUCCUGUACUUGGUGUUACUGCGAAGGGGGGACGGAGAAGGCUAUGUUGGCCGGGCGACGGUUGUCCCGGUUUAAGCGUGUAGGCUGGUUUUCCAGGCAAAUCCGGAAAAUCAAGGCUGAGGCGUGAUGACGAGGCACUACGGUGCUGAAGCAACAAAUGCCCUGCUUCCAGGAAAAGCCUCUAAGCAUCAGGUAACAUCAAAUCGUACCCCAAACCGACACAGGUGGUCAGGUAGAGAAUACCAAGGCGCUUGAGAGAACUCGGGUGAAGGAACUAGGCAAAAUGGUGCCGUAACUUCGGGAGAAGGCACGCUGAUAUGUAGGUGAAGUCCCUCGCGGAUGGAGCUGAAAUCAGUCGAAGAUACCAGCUGGCUGCAACUGUUUAUUAAAAACACAGCACUGUGCAAACACGAAAGUGGACGUAUACGGUGUGACGCCUGCCCGGUGCCGGAAGGUUAAUUGAUGGGGUUAGCGCAAGCG